CACUGCCCGUCGCUACUACCGAUUGAAUGGUUUAGUCAGGUCGUUGGAUUGGCGUCGUUGUAGUGGCUUUGCCACUCGAUUGAUGUUGAGAAGAUAACCUAAUUUGACUUUUUAGAGGAAGUAAAAGUCGUAACAAGGUUUCCGUAGGUGAACCUGCUGAAG
Ribosomal RNA from Schistosoma mansoni, 162 nucleotides. It matches the Rfam family "Eukaryotic small subunit ribosomal RNA", at positions 1667 to 1823 of the family's 1831-position model. The record is from Rfam. Lineage: Eukaryota; Metazoa; Platyhelminthes; Trematoda; Strigeidida; Schistosomatidae.